This 253-nucleotide ribosomal RNA is filed under the name uncultured bacterium. RNAcentral's name for it is "partial 16S ribosomal RNA". It matches the Rfam family "Bacterial small subunit ribosomal RNA", at positions 524 to 776 of the family's 1533-position model. The record is from RNAcentral.
UACGUAGGGGGCAAGCGUUGUCCGGAUUUAUUGGGCGUAAAGAGCGUGUAGGCGGCCAGAUAGGUCCGUUGUGAAAACUCGAGGCUCAACCUCGAGACGCCGAUGGAAACCAUUUGGCUAGAGUCCGGAAGAGGAGAGUGGAAUUCCUGGUGUAGCGGUGAAAUGCGCAGAUAUCAGGAGGAACACCGGUGGCGAAGGCGGGUCUCUGGGCCGAUACUGACGCUGAGGAGCGAAAGCGUGGGGAGCGAACAGG